CACAGACAAUCCUUCGGGUGCGUUUGUGGGCGGCGAGCGGCGGACGGGUGAGUAAUGCUUGGGGAUCUGCCCGGUUGUGGGGGACAACAGUUGGAAACGACUGCUAAUACAGCAUAAUCCCUUCGGGGCAAAGCAGGGGCUCUUCGGACCUUGCGCGAUCGGAUGAACCCAAGUGAGAUUAGCUAGUUGGUGAGGUAAUGGCUCACCAAGGCGACGAUCUCUAGCUGGUUUGAGAGGAUGAUCAGCCACACUGGAACUGAGACACGGUCCAGACUCCUACGGGAGGCAGCAGUGGGGAAUAUUGCACAAUGGGCGCAAGCCUGAUGCAGCCAUGCCGCGUGUGUGAAGAAGGCCUUCGGGUUGUAAAGCACUUUCAGCGAGGAGGAAAGGUUGACGGUUAAUACCCGUCAGCUGUGACGUUACUCGCAGAAGAAGCACCGGCUAACUCCGUGCCAGCAGCCGCGGUAAUACGGAGGGUGCGAGCGUUAAUCGGAAUUACUGGGCGUAAAGCGCAUGCAGGCGGUCUGGUCAGUCAGAUGUGAAAGCCCCGGGCUUAACCUGGGAACUGCAUUUGAUACUGCCAGACUAGAGUCCUUGAGAGGGGGGUAGAAUUUCAGGUGUAGCGGUGAAA
RNAcentral lists this ribosomal RNA (631 nucleotides) under uncultured bacterium. RNAcentral's name for it is "bacterial SSU rRNA". It matches the Rfam family "Bacterial small subunit ribosomal RNA", at positions 52 to 686 of the family's 1533-position model. The record is from RNAcentral.